This 371-nucleotide ribosomal RNA is filed under the name uncultured bacterium. Its description in RNAcentral is "bacterial SSU rRNA". It matches the Rfam family "Bacterial small subunit ribosomal RNA", at positions 527 to 896 of the family's 1533-position model. The record is from RNAcentral.
GGGGGGGGCGAGCGUUGUUCGGAAUUAUUGGGCGUAAAGGGCGCGUAGGCGGUGCGGUAAGUCUGUUGUGAAACCUCCAGGCUCAACUUGGAGCUUGCACCAGAAACUGCCGUGCUAGAGUGCGGGAGAGGAGAGUGGAAUUCCUGGUGUAGCGGUGAAAUGCGUAGAUAUCAGGAGGAACACCGGUGGCGAAAGCGGCUCUCUGGACCGCAACUGACGCUGAGGCGCGAAAGCUAGGGGAGCAAACAGGAUUAGAUACCCUGGUAGCCCUAGCCUUAAACGAUGAACACUUGGUAUAGCGGGUAUCGAAUCCCGCCGUGCCGGAGCUAACGCAUUAAGUGUUCCGCCUGGGGAGUACGGUCGCAAGGCUG